UGGCGAUGUAGCUCAGCUGGUUAGAGCGCACGACUCAUAAUCGUGAGGUCAAGAGUUCAAGUCUCUUCAUCGCCACCAU
Molecule: transfer RNA, 79 nt
Filed under: Enhydrobacter aerosaccus SK60
Lineage: Bacteria; Pseudomonadati; Pseudomonadota; Alphaproteobacteria; Hyphomicrobiales
Description: tRNA-Met
Rfam family: tRNA
About the family: Transfer RNA (tRNA) molecules are approximately 80 nucleotides in length. Their secondary structure includes four short double-helical elements and three loops (D, anti-codon, and T loops).
Source: RNAcentral